This 1493-nucleotide ribosomal RNA is filed under the name uncultured Bordetella sp. RNAcentral's name for it is "partial 16S-23S ribosomal RNA intergenic spacer". It matches the Rfam family "Bacterial small subunit ribosomal RNA". Lineage: Bacteria; Pseudomonadati; Pseudomonadota; Betaproteobacteria; Burkholderiales; Alcaligenaceae. The record is from RNAcentral.
GGUUCGAUUAUAUGGCUCAGAUUGAACGCUGGCGGGAUGCUUUACAUGCGAAGUCGGUGGCAACUGCGGACCUCGGUCUGGUGGCGAGUGGCGAACGGGUAAAGGUAAUGUAUCAGACGUGCCUAGUAGCGGGGAUAACUACGCGAAAGCGUAGCUAAUACCGCAUACGCCCUUCGGGGAAAGCGGGGGACCUUCGAGCCUCACUAUUAAGACAGCCGAUAUGGAUUAGCUAGUUGGUGGGAGGUAACGGCUCACCAAGGCGACGAUCCGUAGCCGUUUCAGAGGACGACCAGCCACACUGGGACUGAGACACGGCCCAGACUCCUACGGGAGGCAGCAGUGGGGAAUUUACCUGGACAAUGGGGAAACCUGAUCCAGCCAUCCCGCGUGUGCAGUGAAGGCCUUCGGGUUGUAAGCACUUUUUGGCGGGAAAGAAACGGCACGGGAUAAUACCCCGUGCAACUGACGGUACCUGCAGAAUAAGCACCGGCUAACGCUACGUACCAGCAGCUGCGGUAAUACGUAGGGUGCAAGCGUUAAUCGGAAUUACUGGGCGUAAAGCGUGCGCAGGCGGUUCGGGGGAAGAAAAAGUCGUAAAAUCCCAGAGCUACUUUGGGAACAGUACGCUUUACCGAGCUAGAGUGUGUCAGAGGGAGGUGGAAUUCCGCGAUGUAGCAGUGAAAUGCGUAGAUAUGCGGAGGAACACCGAUGGCGAAGGCAGCCUCCUGGGAUAACGCUGACGUAUUGCACGAAAGCGACUGGGGAGCAAACAGGAUUAGAUACCCUGGUAGUCCACCGCCUAAACGAUGUCCAGCCGCUGGUGGGCCUUCAAGACGCCAGUAGCUGGCUAACAACGUGAUUGACCGCCUGGAAAUUGAUCUGAGGUCAAACUUUCAAGGGUCGACAGGGACCCGCACAAGCGGUGGAUGAUGUGGAUUAAUUCGAUGCAACGCGAAAAACCUGCCUACACUGCAAGCAUGUCUGGAAUCCCGAAGAGAGAUUUGGGAGUGCUCGCAAGAGAACCGGAACACAGGUGCUGCAUGGCUGUCGUCAGCUCGUCUGGCGAAAUCGUGGAUUAAGUCCCGCAACGAGCGCAACCCUUGUCAUUAGUUGCUACGAAAGACACUCUAACCAAUGAGACUGCCGGUGACAAACCGGAGGAAGGUGGGGAUGACGUCAAGUCCUCAUAAGCCCUUAUGGGUAGACCACGCACGUCAUACAAUGGUCGGGACAGAGGGUCGCCAACCCGCGAGAGAGGAGCCAGUCAGAAACCGAUCGUAGUCCAGAUCUGCGAUCUGCAACUAUUUGUGAAGUCGGAAUCCUUCAGCAAUCGCGGAUCAGCUUGUAUCCACUGGGCUCAAGCCACGUUCCCGGGUCUUGUACACACCUUGUCCUGUCUUGAGGAAUUAGGUUUUACCAGAAGUAGUGCUUCAACAUAAGGAGGGCAGACCUACGGUAGGAUUCAUGACUGGGGUGAAGUCAUGUUAAGGUAG